This is a non-coding RNA of Cucurbita pepo subsp. pepo (vegetable marrow), 1368 nucleotides long. Lineage: Eukaryota; Viridiplantae; Streptophyta; Magnoliopsida; Cucurbitales; Cucurbitaceae. The record is from RefSeq and is a predicted model, not a curated record.
UCAAUAAAUUAAACAAGUAAAACUUUAUCCAUGAAUGGAGCCCGCCUUUGGGUUGGUGCGUGAUGAUAUGGCGGAGCCGAUACAACUCUGAAGACGGUGGCGGGUCUUCAUAAUUCAUACAUUUUAACAUCGGCAAAGCAAGGCACGUUUAUGCACUAGAUCCUGCUGGUGUACUCCCACUAGAGCUAUGGACAUCAACUUCCCUUACCUAUCUGUAUGUUUUCUUUCUUAUACACACACCUCCACAUAUUUCUUUUACAAUAUUACAUGACAGGUAGAGUGGAGGAUUUGAUUCUACGGCUUUUUCAAUGUGGAAUGUUUUUACUGGUAGCACACAAUUUAAUUGAGCUUGAUUUGAUUCCAACAAUUUCUCUGCUUCCUUACCACCAGAGCUUGGAAAUCUUUGUACGUUAGAGCAACUGAACCACUAGAAAGAAAGUGAAAUGGAGAAACAUCAUAUUUACAGCAUACUCUACACAAAAUCUUCUUUAUGUUUUGGUUCAAGUUAAGGGUUCUAUUUACAGCAUACUCUACACAUUACGGGUGUUAAUUAACAAUCUUUUCCACACUAUAUAUACACGUUUAAACCCCAUCUUAAACCACGCAAGCCUCUAAAUGCCAUAUAAACAUAUAAUUCCCAACAUCCCUUUCAAAUGUCAAUCAUCAAGAACCAGAAAAGAGAAAGAUAACAACACCUUUGCUUCACUCACUUCUACUACUCCACAUGAUACUGAAAAGAAGAAACUUAGGGAAAAAGAAAAACAAUUUAGGGAAAAAGAAAAACAAUUUGAAGUGUGCAUAUAUUUUAUAGCUUACAAACCAAGAGAAUAGAAAAGUUGAAGUACAGAACAUUUCACAAUAAGCUAACAAACAGAAACAUUGUAAGUGUAGUGAAGAGGGUGAGGAGAGGCUUCAAACUGAAAAAGGACGCAAUUCUGAAGCUCGUCCUUGCAAAUCAGAGCUCCCAACUUCUCCAAAUCUCUCAUAUUUUCCACAAGUAUGAUGAGAUUAACCAUUACAAGAACCACCAAAAACACCAAAUAAACAAACUUUGAAGCAUUGAAAAAUAUGGAAUACGCAACCAAUGACAAGAACUGCAUGGCCUUUAGCUUUCGCUUUGCUUCGGAUCUUCUCUCUUCCUUUGAUAAAUAUGUAGAGUUUCAAAACUGCUACACAAACAGUUCAACUUAUAUGUAUGUACGUGCCAAUGUAGGCAUAGCCAAGAAGAUUAUUAGUGGAGUUUUUUCUGUUCACCACUUAAAUAUACAAAACAGUUGGUUGUUGAAUUGGUAUUAAAUGAGAGGAUUGAAUUGUACACACCAUUCUUAUGGAAUUUAAUUCUUUAUAUAUUAUGUCUAUUGUUCCUGA